This 249-nucleotide long non-coding RNA is filed under the name Elaeis guineensis (African oil palm). Its description in RNAcentral is "long non-coding RNA (EGUI_LNC033829)". Lineage: Eukaryota; Viridiplantae; Streptophyta; Magnoliopsida; Arecales; Arecaceae. The record is from RNAcentral.
GGAUGAGAAUGGCAGUCUACCAGCACAGAGUGGCACAAUACUACAACUCUCACAUCCGAAGAAAGAAAUUCAAAGUCGGUGAUCUAGUCCUGCAUCGCAUCGAGAUAUUACAACCUAUGGAAUGAGGAAAGUUGUCUCCAAAAUAGAAAGGCCCCUAUCUGGUGGACAAAGUCAUCAAACCUAAAAUCUAUCACCUAAAGCAACUAGAUGGAGCUCCCCUACCUCGAUCAUGAAACUCAAAGAACCUCC